Molecule: ribosomal RNA, 312 nt
Filed under: uncultured Glomeromycotina
Lineage: Eukaryota; Fungi; Glomeromycota
Description: LSU rRNA
Source: RNAcentral
UUGAAAGGGAAACGAUUGAAGUCAGUCAUGCUGNUGGGAAUCAACUUAGGGGAAACUCUAGGUGCACUUUUUCGCUUGGCAGGUUAACGUCGAUCUUGAAUGCCAUAAAAUAAUUGGGGGAAGGUAGCUCCUUCGGGAGUGUUAUAGCCCUUGAUAGAUGUGAUGUUUGGGGUCGAGGAUUGCAACGGAUACCCUUUGGGGCUAGCCGCCUGAUCUCUAAUCGGUGUUGGGUUACGGAUAGCAUGCUGACCGUGAUCUAAUUACUGGUUAAAAGGUUAGAGCGUGCAUAAAUUCGUUAAGGAUGUUGACGUA